This 447-nucleotide ribosomal RNA is filed under the name uncultured bacterium. Its description in RNAcentral is "partial 16S ribosomal RNA". It matches the Rfam family "Bacterial small subunit ribosomal RNA", at positions 29 to 523 of the family's 1533-position model. The record is from RNAcentral.
AACGAACGCUGGCGGCAGGCCUAACACAUGCAAGUCGAGCGCCCAGCAAUGGGAGCGGCAGACGGGUGAGUAACGCGUGGGGAUCUACCUAUUGGUACGGAAUAACCCAGGGAAACUUGGACUAAUACCGUAUGCGCCCUUCGGGGGAAAGAUUUAUCGCCAAUGGAUGAACCCGCGUCGGAUUAGCUAGUUGGUGAGGUAAAGGCUCACCAAGGCGACGAUCCGUAGCUGGUCUGAGAGGAUGAUCAGCCACACUGGGACUGAGACACGGCCCAGACUCCUACGGGAGGCAGCAGUGGGGAAUAUUGGACAAUGGGCGCAAGCCUGAUCCAGCCAUGCCGCGUGAGUGAUGAAGGCCUUAGGGUUGUAAAGCUCUUUCGCCGGUGAAGAUAAUGACGGUAACCGGAGAAGAAGCCCCGGCUAACUUCGUGCCAGCCGCCGCCGUAA